GACGAACGCUGGCGGCGUGCUUAACACAUGCAAGUCGAACGCUGAAGCUUGGUGUUUGCACUGGGUGGCUGAGUGGCGAACGGGUGAGUAAUACGUGAGUAACCUGCCCUUGACUCUGGGAUAAGCUUGGGACACUGGGUCUAAUACUGGAUACGACAUGUCACCGCAUGGUGGUGUGUGGAAAGGGUUUUACUGGUUUUGGAUGGGCUCACGGCCUAUCAGCUUGUUGGUUGGGUAAUGGCUCACCAAGGCGCCGACGGGUAGCCGGCCUGAGAGGGUGACCGGCCACACUGGGACUGAGACACGGCCCAGACUCCUACGGGAGGCAGCAGUGGGGAAUAGUGCACAAUGGGCGGAAGCCUGAUGCAGCGACGCCGCGUGAGGGAUGACGGCCUUCGGGUUGUAGACCUCUUUCAGCACGGAAGAAGCGAAAGUGACGGUACGUGCAGAAGAAGCGCCGGCUAACUACGUG
RNAcentral lists this ribosomal RNA (472 nucleotides) under uncultured bacterium. RNAcentral's name for it is "partial 16S ribosomal RNA". It matches the Rfam family "Bacterial small subunit ribosomal RNA", at positions 28 to 507 of the family's 1533-position model. The record is from RNAcentral.